This is a non-coding RNA of Cicer arietinum (chickpea), 368 nucleotides long. Lineage: Eukaryota; Viridiplantae; Streptophyta; Magnoliopsida; Fabales; Fabaceae. The record is from RefSeq and is a predicted model, not a curated record.
AUUUGCUUUAUGAUUCUCUUUUGAGAUGUUUUCCCUGUCAAUGACUAUGGUUGUCAGAUUCUUGUGUUAACUCAGAAUAAUUGUAGUUUGUGACUCUAGGUAUCAACUUAACUUGCUUACAAAGUCAUUCAGUGUAAACUCAGGAAGCUCAAAAUGCAACAGCUGAGUGAUAAAGCUCUGUAGUGGACAAAAUAUGGACCUCAGUUGUAGAGCUCCACUCCACAAAUGCAUCUAACAUCCUAUUGUAAACCCAUCUCCUUAGUAGGUGAAAGUUAUUGUAUUGAGUCUCAACCCCAUAGCUCCCGACAUAAACAAUGUAGCGAACCAGAAAUCAUGAACAGACCUAGUGUUCUAAGUUUGUAAUGAUC